Long non-coding RNA from Caretta caretta (loggerhead turtle), 3041 nucleotides. RefSeq lists it as uncharacterized. The record is from RefSeq and is a predicted model, not a curated record. Lineage: Eukaryota; Metazoa; Chordata; Testudines; Cheloniidae.
AAGGGAAGGUAAUUGAAAACACGCUGCAUUCUUGAGCCCAGAGGGGAGAGCUCUGUGGAUUGUCAGCACCUAACAGACAGGGCUGUUUUUUACCCUGACAUGUUUUAACACCUGGCUGUUUGGAGUGGGGAGGAGAAGACUGGAUUGUCUAAUAAUCAUAUGCACUUCUGGCCUUUGAAAGUUACAGGGGCACUGUUCUCCUUUCUCAGAGAUGAUCUUUGAGUUUAUAGCUUCCUUUCUUAAUCCUAAAAUUGUGCAGGGGCUAGGCUAGAGCCUGGGGAACUUACCUCCCCUUGCAGUGACUUCUGCAGGUAGGUUGGGGGGCCAGCGUGGGAUCGACCCUGACAUCACUAGCACAGCCUGGCUCAAUGUGAUUAACGAAGCAGUGCUUUUCCAGAUCAGUAACCAGAGUUCCAUUCCAGUCUGAGCUCCCAUUAGACAGGAGUUUGAUGGGGAGGGUGCCAGCGGGGAAGGGGAUAGCACGGACAAUGAGCAAUGCCCCAUACACGCAGGGAGCCAUCACUGAAUCUCGGCAGAGAACAUCACUUAGUUUCAAGCCUGACUGUUUCACUACUGUGAAAUGCAAACCCAACACAUAUAAGGGUAGGAACCCGAUACAUAGAAUGGCUAGUGGUGACCACCAUUAUGGCUCCGGGGAUCCUGUCCCUGCUCAGAGGCAAUUCAGGGAACGAGGGGUCUGAAAGAGAGGAAAACCUCUAGGUCACACUAAUGACCAGUAGCGGUAACCAGCCAGUGGUUGGGUUUGGGCCAAUAGGAAUGAGUUCAUGGGCUCAGUUUUUCCUAAUGGAGCGCUGUUCAUGUGGCUCCGUAAUACCCAGCACGGCUGGCGCUCGCAGGCGAGGAUACAACCGGUCUGGAAACUGAACAACUCUCUCAGCCCACCAAGCAGCUCAGCACGGUUCUGGAGCAGUGAGGGGAGGAGCUUAGAUUGCCACUGCCUCUAGGCUGUGCCCUUUCCGUGAGCACAGGAUUUCUCAAGUCCAGCACAAAACCCACUUUUUAACCACGAAACAUGGAAAAGGAGAAGAAAUUCAGGGUAAGCCAGAGGGAGUGACAGCAGCAUCCUGGACACAGGCUUUCCUGUGAGUAAAGGAUCAGCCUUGGACUUUGGAUUUCCGACUAGUCCUUGUUUACCCAGCUCCAGUUCUGAAAGUGCCUGUUCAUCGUACAAACAUCAAGAGUGCUGGCAAGGCCGAGGGGAAGCAAAGUUCAGCUGCAGGGAAUGCGAGAGGAAGGGCGGUCCUGCAGCUCCCCUGGCAGCAGCUCAGGUCGUUAAAGCAAACGGUUCUGAUCUGCAGCAGGGCGGGAAGGAAAAUGGUGGGGGAAUCCAUCACCUAAAGCCUGGGUCGCUAUGUGCUCCUGGCCUGGCCAUAAAAACUGGGGCUGGGCAGAAAUCCGAGCCCUCCCCACCAGCCACGUUAAAAGCUGCUGACUGACCCCCAGCAGUGCACAUUCACUACAGCACGUCCAGGGUUGCAGGACCAUCGGGGAGAUUAUUGUGUCACCAGGUUAUACUACAACCGUCUUCCCACAGCGCCACACGAGAAGAGACUCAGCAACGGCCUCGCUGAAGGCUCCAAAGCCCCUGCACUCUGGGGCCUAGCCCAGCAGCGCAGGCUGGAGGAGGAUGGGUUCAGGUUCAGUGUGCUCUGUGGUCGACAGCGAAGCACUCAUUUCCCUGGAUCCACUCGCCCCUCCUAAAAACAGUACCUGCAGUGUGUGCUCGGUUAACUCCCUCCUGUUGACUCAUUUACGGAAGUCAGGUUUCAGACACAACCCACUACGAUGUGCUCCUAACAGAGGGGUUUGUUUCAGAGAGCUCCACUGUGUUGUGGACCAUCUUUGGGUUUGGCACACAAGCAAUAUAUUUCAUCCGUAGAUCAGGCCAGUUUUCUAUUGCUUUUUCCCAUCUGAACCAUGCUAACUCUGGUGCUGUUCCUCUGAGGAGCUCCAAGCACCUUACAAACAUUGGUCAAACAUCACACCACCCCUGUAAGGCAGGUAGGAUUAUCCCCAUUUUACAAAGGGGGAAACUGAGACUCGGUUACCCAGAGUCACACAACACACCAAUGACAAAGCCAGGAAGAGAACUCAGGUUUCCUGACUCCUCGUCUCCCCACUUUAAUCACUAGACUACACUCUCUUUCUUCAGAAACACUAAUUCUGUUUUCUGAUGCUAAUUUAAAAGGGCUUUAUUCUAUUGCUCUAGAUUAAAUUCCUUAAGCAGAUCUCUCCCUCAGAGAGCUGUUUUUCAAAAGUCCGCUCCGAUGCACUUGAAUGUUUCCAUCAUGCAGCCUUUAUUGUCCCCCUUUCAGCUGUGAAAUAGCACUAAUCUCACACAAGCAAACUCACAAAUCAAGCAAGUUCAGACACUGUCAUCCAGAAGUCCCCCUGUACUAAAAUUAGGAAACCAUAAGUGGCUGCCUCUUCUUAUAGGAGGGUGUGACCAAGCAACUCCCCAGCCAAUCAGAGCCAAAUUAAUUCUGCAGGCAUGAAGCAACUGAACUUGUUUAUCAUUUUGACAUCUGGCACCAGAGCAAAAACUUGCAAAUCUUAAACUGCCUUCACACAAGGAACUUGUGACACAGACAGCUGCAGCCUCACAGCCCACAGGCUGGGACUACCUACUCUCCCUACAAAGGGUACGGAGCCUGGAUUGGAAGAGAACACAGUAGAAGGGCCAUGUUGGGUUUUCAACGUGCAUUCAGGUUGCUUAAUGCAACAGUGAGGAAGCAGAUUGUUCCCAGAGCAAAUAUUGUUUCUGGACCACCAGAGGAGAUUGUCACUCCAGCUGAUCAAGCCAUUGCGCUGAUUGUGAUGUUUGCAACCGUCCUGAUCCCAUCGGGCUGGAUUCUGGCACACAUGGAGGACUACAAGCACAAGCCUAGCGAGUGAGAGACAGGGGGAAGCUGCAUGCAGCCUAGUUUAGGAGAAUGGGAAGAGAAGACUAUUGAACAAACUCCUUCAUGGCAAUCUGACCUUUGAGGAUUUUAUAAUUAAAACACCAUGAAAAAACAUAA